AGAGUUUGAUCCUGGCUCAGGAUGAACGCUGGCGGCGUGCUUAACACAUGCAAGUCGAACGGUGAACACGGAGCUUGCUCUGUGGGAUCAGUGGCGAACGGGUGAGUAACACGUGAGCAACCUGCCCCUGACUCUGGGAUAAGCGCUGGAAACGGCGUCUAAUACUGGAUAUGUGACGUGAUCGCAUGGUCUGCGUCUGGAAAGAAUUUCGGUUGGGGAUGGGCUCGCGGCCUAUCAGCUUGGUGGUGAGGUAAUGGCUCACCAAGGCGUCGACGGGUAGCCGGCCUGAGAGGGUGACCGGCCACACUGGGACUGAGACACGGCCCAGACUCCUACGGGAGGCAGCAGUGGGGAAUAUUGCACAAUGGGCGCAAGCCUGAUGCAGCAACGCCGCGUGAGGGACGACGGCCUUCGGGUUGUAAACCUCUUUUAGCAGGGAAGAAGCGAAAGUGACGGUACCUGCAGAAAAAGCGCCGGCUAACUACGUGCCAGCAGCCGCGGUAAUACGUAGGGCGCAAGCGUUAUCCGGAAUUAUUGGGCGUAAAGAGCUCGUAGGCGGUUUGUCGCGUCUGCUGUGAAAUCCGGAGGCUCAACCUCCGGCCUGCAGUGGGUACGGGCAGACUAGAGUGCGGUAGGGGAGAUUGGAAUUCCUGGUGUAGCGGUGGAAUGCGCAGAUAUCGGGAGGAACACCGAUGGCGAA
Molecule: ribosomal RNA, 700 nt
Filed under: uncultured bacterium
Lineage: Bacteria
Description: bacterial SSU rRNA
Rfam family: Bacterial small subunit ribosomal RNA
Source: RNAcentral